Molecule: ribosomal RNA, 433 nt
Filed under: uncultured bacterium
Lineage: Bacteria
Description: partial 16S ribosomal RNA
Rfam family: Bacterial small subunit ribosomal RNA
Source: RNAcentral
AGCGAACGCUGGCGGCAGGCCUAACACAUGCAAGUCGAACGAACCUUUCGGGGUUAGUGGCGGACGGGUGAGUAACACGUGGGAACGUGCCUUUAGGUUCGGAAUAACUCAGGGAAACUUGUGCUAAUACCGAAUGUGCCCUUCGGGGGAAAGAUUAAUCGCCUUUAGAGCGGCCCGCGUCUGAUUAGCUAGUUGGUUGAGGUAAUGGCUCACCAAGGCGACGAUCAGUAGCUGGUCUGAGAGGAUGAUCAGCCACAUUGGGACUGAGACACGGCCCAAACUCCUACGGGAGGCAGCAGUGGGGAAUCUUGCGCAAUGGGCGAAAGCCUGACGCAGCCAGGCCGCGUGAAUGAUGAAGGUCUUAGGAUUGUAAAAUUCUUUCACCGGGGACGAUAAGGACGGUACCCGGAGAAGAAGCCCCGGCGAACUUCGU